CCUUAAACGAAAUUAGAAAAUACCAAAAAUAAAACAUUAAAACACCCCCCACCCCAUUAAUAAUAGUAGUGAUGAUGCAAAUAAUAAUAAUAUGACUAUACUCCAGAAAAGGCGUCACUCACCGUCAAGGCACAAGGGUUGCUUGUAGUUUCAAGUGACGACAGGACGGCAAAGUCUACACAGAUCAUUCAUGGAAAGCCAUCAUCUUUAUUAAAAUGCCACAGCUAGUACAACACAAGUUAACUCUCCAAACACCUCCUGGGAGCCUUGGGUGGCAGAGAGCCAUCACCAUGGUGAUCUGAACACAGAUUCCCUGCACACCGGUCCAUUGUGACGGCCGUGUGUUGAGGAUGUGGGAGGACACCGGAGUGCCCGGAGAUAACCCACACGGGCACGGGGAGAACAUGCAAACUCCACACAGGGAGGGCCAGAGGUGGAAUCGAGCCCGUACCCUCCUAACCGUGAGGCGGAAGUGCUAACCAGUGCCCACCGAACCGCUUGAAAACGUUUGAAAAAUUCGUAUUUUUAGAAAAUCCAUAUUUGUACACUCCUAAAUUUCUGUGGAAACAGUCUCUUAUGCCUUGUCUGCAGGUAGCAAUUCAUAGCAAGCUCAGUUUUGUUCCUCUUGUUCAAAGUUGCUGCUGCUUCGGAGUUAGGAUCAGUAAAAUACAUUGGGAACCCCUAAAGUAGAAUGCCCCAAAGUCAUACAAAUUAGAAUUCAAACAACUUGUCUGAAAAAAAUGUCACAUCUUGUGUGUUUUCAAUUCAAUGAGUAAUAAAGAGGAAACGUUUGUUGA
This is a long non-coding RNA of Syngnathus acus (greater pipefish), 797 nucleotides long. RefSeq lists it as uncharacterized. The record is from RefSeq and is a predicted model, not a curated record. The transcript is spliced from 4 exons. NCBI's taxonomy places the organism in Eukaryota, Metazoa, Chordata, Actinopteri, Syngnathiformes, Syngnathidae.